This 253-nucleotide ribosomal RNA is filed under the name uncultured bacterium. RNAcentral describes it as "partial 16S ribosomal RNA". It matches the Rfam family "Bacterial small subunit ribosomal RNA", at positions 524 to 776 of the family's 1533-position model. The record is from RNAcentral.
GACGUAGGGUGCGAGCGUUGUCCGGAUUUAUUGGGCGUAAAGAGCUCGUAGGCGGCUCGUCGCGUCGACCGUGAAAACCCGCGGCUUAACUGCGGGCUUGCGGUUGAUACGGGCGGGCUAGAGUUCGGUAGGGGAGACUGGAAUUCCUGGUGUAGCGGUGAAAUGCGCAGAUAUCGGGAGGAACACCGGUGGCGAAGGCGGUUCUCUGGGCCUGUACUGACGCUGAGGAGCGAAAGCGUGGGGAGCGAACAGG